RNAcentral lists this non-coding RNA (38 nucleotides) under Mycobacterium tuberculosis. The record is from RNAcentral. Lineage: Bacteria; Bacillati; Actinomycetota; Actinomycetes; Mycobacteriales; Mycobacteriaceae.
UUUAUCACUCCCGACCAAAUAGGUAUCGGCGUGUUCAA